GACGAACGCUGGCGGCGUGCUUAACACAUGCAAGUCGAACGGAAAGGCCCUGCUUUUGUGGGGUGCUCGAGUGGCGAACGGGUGAGUAACACGUGAGUAACCUGCCCUUGACUUUGGGAUAACUUCAGGAAACUGGGGCUAAUACCGGAUAGGAUCUCCUGCUGCAUGGUGGGGGUUGGAAAGUUUCGGCGGUUGGGGAUGGACUCGCGGCUUAUCAGCUUGUUGGUGGGGUAGUGGCUUACCAAGGCUUUGACGGGUAGCCGGCCUGAGAGGGUGACCGGCCACAUGGGGACUGAGAGACGGCCCAGACGCCUACGGGAGGCAGCAGUGGGGAAUAUUGCACAAUGGGCGGAAGCCUGAUGCAGCAACGCCGCGUGCGGGAUGACGGCCUUCGGGUUAUAAACAGCUUUCGCCUGUGACGAAGCGUGAGUGACGGUAAUGGGUAAAGAAGCACCGGCUAACUACGUG
RNAcentral lists this ribosomal RNA (468 nucleotides) under uncultured bacterium. Its description in RNAcentral is "partial 16S ribosomal RNA". It matches the Rfam family "Bacterial small subunit ribosomal RNA", at positions 28 to 507 of the family's 1533-position model. The record is from RNAcentral.